This 253-nucleotide ribosomal RNA is filed under the name uncultured bacterium. RNAcentral describes it as "partial 16S ribosomal RNA". It matches the Rfam family "Bacterial small subunit ribosomal RNA", at positions 524 to 776 of the family's 1533-position model. The record is from RNAcentral.
UACGUAGGGUGCAAGCGUUAAUCGGAAUUACUGGGCGUAAAGCGUGCGCAGGCGGUUUUGUAAGUCUGACGUGAAAUCCCCGGGCUCAACCUGGGAAUUGCGUUGGAGACUGCAAGGCUAGAAUCUGGCAGAGGGGGGUAGAAUUCCACGUGUAGCAGUGAAAUGCGUAGAGAUGUGGAGGAACACCGAUGGCGAAGGCAGCCCCCUGGGUCAGCACUGACGCUCAUGCACGAAAGCGUGGGGAGCAAACAGG